UACAGAGGGUGCAAGCGUUGUUCGGAAUUAUUGGGCGUAAAGGGAGUGUAGGCGGUCUGAUAAGUCUUCUGUGAAAUCUACGGGCUAAACCUGUAACGUGCAGAAGAUACUGUUAGGCUUGAGUGUCGGAGAGGAUAGUGGAAUUCCCGGUGUAGAGGUGAAAUUCGUAGAGAUCGGGAGGAACACCAGUGGCGAAGGCGACUGUCUGGCUGACAACUGACGCUGAGACUCGAAAGCAUGGGGAGCAAACAGG
This 253-nucleotide ribosomal RNA is filed under the name uncultured bacterium. RNAcentral's name for it is "partial 16S ribosomal RNA". It matches the Rfam family "Bacterial small subunit ribosomal RNA", at positions 524 to 776 of the family's 1533-position model. The record is from RNAcentral.